UACAAGGCAUGACCUUAAGGGGCUGUGAGUGCUUCUUAUGCUAUAAAUAAGAGCUCAUAGCAAGCCAUCAAACUCACAAAUCUUCAACCAUCUCCUUCUCUCUACAUCUUUGUGUAAAUCUCUCUCACUAACACUCUCUUUACCACUCUCGGUAUACAUACAAACACCACAUACAAACACCACUUCACCACCCUUAACCACCUCUUAUGCUGUUUGAUACUGUCGCUGAAACUAAAUAAAUCUCGACGAUUCGUCUUCACGGCAAUACAUCUCGCUUUUUCUCGCAACAAUUACUCGACAAUCACACAUUAAGCCGGAGGAUUUCUGGAGCAGCAGCAGCAGCAGUAGAUGGUCAGUUCCCGAUCAGAUCAGCAGCUACUUCGAGGUACCUCCUCAGCUAGGGGAAAGGAGCCGGCACGGUAGCAGCAUGUCACACACACACACUCUCUUGUGUCCGUAGUUACGAGUUUAUUCUGGGAUUAAUACUCUGAUAUUUGAUUGAUCGAAUGUUGUGGUUUUCAAUUUGGUUUUUCGAUGUGAAGUGGUUUAAUCAAACAAUGUUUUAACUAUUAAUGCUGUCAUGUAAUGUUUUAUAACGAAA
Lactuca sativa (garden lettuce) is the source of this 601-nucleotide long non-coding RNA. RefSeq lists it as uncharacterized. The record is from RefSeq and is a predicted model, not a curated record. NCBI's taxonomy places the organism in Eukaryota, Viridiplantae, Streptophyta, Magnoliopsida, Asterales, Asteraceae.